This 30-nucleotide non-coding RNA is filed under the name Sus scrofa (pig). RNAcentral also lists the same sequence under 3 other names. The record is from RNAcentral. Lineage: Eukaryota; Metazoa; Chordata; Mammalia; Artiodactyla; Suidae.
UAUUUGUUGAAUGGAUGAAUGGGUGGAUGA